GCCUACGACCAUCUCACCCUGAAUGCGCCCGAUCUCGUCUGAUCUCGGAAGCUAAGCAUGGUAGAGCCUGGAUAGUACUUGGAUGGGAGACUGCCUGGGAAUACCAGGUGUUGUAGGCU
Ribosomal RNA from Petromyzon marinus (sea lamprey), 119 nucleotides. The record is from Ensembl. Lineage: Eukaryota; Metazoa; Chordata; Hyperoartia; Petromyzontiformes; Petromyzontidae.